GAUGAACGCUAGCGACAGGCUUAACACAUGCAAGUCGAGGGGCAGCGAGGGAGUGCUUGCACUUCUGUCGGCGACCGGCGCACGGGUGAGUAACACGUAUGCAACCUGCCCUUGUCAGGGGGAUAAGCGAGGGAAACCUCGUCUAAUACCGCAUAUAUGGUUUUGAGGCAUCUCUUAAUCAGGAAAGAAUUAUCGGACAAGGAUGGGCAUGCGGGACAUUAGGUAGUUGGGGGGUGUAACGGACCACCAAGCCGACGAUGUCUAGGGGUUCUGAGAGGAAGGUCCCCCACACUGGUACUGAGACACGGACCAGACUCCUACGGGAGGCAGCAGUGAGGAAUAUUGGUCAAUGGUCUGACGACUGAACCAGCCAUGCCGCGUGAAGGUGACGGCCCUAUGGGUCUUAAACUUCUUUUGUAAGGGAGCAAUAAGGUGCACGUGUGCAUCGAUGAGAGUACCUUACGAAUAAGCAUCGGCUAACUCCGUGCCAG
Molecule: ribosomal RNA, 491 nt
Filed under: uncultured bacterium
Lineage: Bacteria
Description: bacterial SSU rRNA
Rfam family: Bacterial small subunit ribosomal RNA
Source: RNAcentral